CGCCUCCCCAGCGCGGCCAACCCCGGGCUGGCCCAGCCCCCGCCCCGGGCCGGCCAUAGGGCGUGGGGGGGGGGGCGGGGAGCGGGGGAGGGUGGGGGCCGGGCCGGGCUGGGGGGGGCGGGGGCGCGGCUUUGUGGCGGCAGCGGACCGUGGAGGCCGGGUGCAGCCCCGUCGGCUCCGCGCUCCGGCAGAAAGGGCUUUUCUACACCCCCCGCCCAUCACUUGGAUCUGGUCUGGUAUUCCUCGGGGUUCCCUGGGCCGGCCGUGGCAGCUGAGUUUCUCCAGCAACUAAAAGAAGAAAGAUGUCCCCCCCCCCCGCCCCCGCCCCCGCCCCCAACCCUCCUUUCUGGUCCCUGGGAGUGCUCCCCUCAUGGUGCUCAGAACUGGUUGGUGAUCACCACGGAAAAUAAAAAGAAUGCCAUCCGCAGAUGGUUGCUAAACAUGC
Long non-coding RNA from Cervus elaphus (red deer), 445 nucleotides. RefSeq lists it as uncharacterized. NCBI's taxonomy places the organism in Eukaryota, Metazoa, Chordata, Mammalia, Artiodactyla, Cervidae. The record is from RefSeq and is a predicted model, not a curated record. The transcript has 2 exons.